CAGUCGCCGCGGUAAUACGAAGGGUGCAAGCGUUAAUCGGAAUUACUGGGCGUAAAGCGUGCGUAGGCGGUUUGUUAAGUCUGCUGUGAAAUCCCCGGGCUCAACCUGGGAAUGGCAGUGGAUACUGGCAAGCUAGAGUGUGUCAGAGGAUGGUGGAAUUCCCGGUGUAGCGGUGAAAUGCGUAGAGAUCGGGAGGAACAUCAGUGGCGAAGGCGGCCAUCUGGGACAACACUGACGCUGAGGCACGAAAGCGUGGGGAGCAAACAGGAUUAGAUACCCCAGUAGUCCCUGUCUCUUAUAA
RNAcentral lists this ribosomal RNA (301 nucleotides) under uncultured bacterium. RNAcentral describes it as "partial 16S ribosomal RNA". It matches the Rfam family "Bacterial small subunit ribosomal RNA", at positions 509 to 809 of the family's 1533-position model. The record is from RNAcentral.